UACGUAGGGAGCAAGCGUUGUCCGGAAUCAUUGGGCGUAAAGCGCGCGUAGGUGGCCUCGUAAGUCCGCUGUGAAAGUCAAAGGCUCAACCUUUGAAAGCCGGUGGAUACUGUGAGGCUAGAGUACGGAAGAGGCGAGUGGAAUUCCUGGUGUAGCGGUGGAAUGCGCAGAUAUCAGGAGGAAUACCAAUAGCGAAGGCAGCUCGCUGGGACGUAACUGACACUGAGGCGCGAAAGCGUGGGGAGCGAACAGG
This 253-nucleotide ribosomal RNA is filed under the name uncultured bacterium. RNAcentral's name for it is "partial 16S ribosomal RNA". It matches the Rfam family "Bacterial small subunit ribosomal RNA", at positions 524 to 776 of the family's 1533-position model. The record is from RNAcentral.